CCGCGGUACUCUGACCGUGCAAAGGUAGCAUAAUCAUUUGCCUUAUAAUUGAAGGCUGGAAUGAAUGGUUUGACAAGAAUACACCUGUCUCUUUUAGAUUCUAUAGAAUUUUAUUUUUAGGUGAAAAAGCCUAGAUUGAAUUAAAAGACAAGAAGACCCUAUCGAGCUUUAGAGAAGUUAAUAGACUUAGUGUAAAUCAAUAUAAGUAAAAGAAAAACUAUUAAAUACUUUGGUUGGGGCAACCGAGGAGCAAGUAAAGCCUCCUCUCAGUGAUAAGUCUUACUUGUGUUGAUCCAAACUUUUUGAUCAAAGGAAUUAGUUACCGUAGGGAUAACAGCAUUAUCUUUUUCAAGAGCCCAUAUCGAAAAAAAGGUUUGUGACCUCGAUGUUGCAGAAUGUCCUAAAGAUGC
Molecule: ribosomal RNA, 410 nt
Filed under: Conus tessulatus
Lineage: Eukaryota; Metazoa; Mollusca; Gastropoda; Neogastropoda; Conidae
Description: partial 16S ribosomal RNA
Rfam family: Bacterial large subunit ribosomal RNA
Source: RNAcentral